Molecule: long non-coding RNA, 1065 nt
Organism: Micropterus salmoides (largemouth bass)
Lineage: Eukaryota; Metazoa; Chordata; Actinopteri; Centrarchiformes; Centrarchidae
Exons: 4
Source: RefSeq, a predicted model, not a curated record
CACAGGUGAGGGACAUGAGGCUAACGAGACACAGGCAUGCAGAGUGAUAACUGGGGGAACAGACAUGACACAGGUUACUGAACACUAGACGAUAGACGAGACAGAACCCCAAUACACAACAGACCAAAAUAACAGAUAAUCAACUGACCAAACUCAAGAGGCAGAGUGUGACAAGUGGUCCAUGUCCAUUUCUUUUUUGCCAUAUAGCCAACCAUCCUGCUUAAAACAAGUUAUUGAUGCAUUAUGUUUUCCUGUUAAGGCCAAAGUUGAAAACCAUUAAUCUACAUACAUUUAUGUGUUUGCUGAGUUCCAUUGCUUUACAAAUGUUGAACCUAUGCAACCAAUUCUACUGCGAGCUUGAGAGAUACACACCACAACUGAUUGCUCUGUACAGGCAGAAGGCCAAGAGAGCAGAGGCCCUGCAGAGAUCCUCAGGAUUUAUGACCUCCAGGACCAACAUGAUGUACGCAUGAGACGUCAUCCGACCCUCCAUGCCCUUCCAGUGAACCCGCUAGAGGAUGACUGACUUCUUCAAAACCUGCAAUUUGAGUCAGAUUAAGAAAGCGUCAGUACAGACAGAAGGAAUCAUAACAGCCACCAGUAACUCUUAACAUUUUGUCAUGGUAAAGAUGAACCAGACAUUGCUGACACUCCUCACUGUGAUCACUGACACUGAUGCUCCUGGUGCAGUCCGCUUCAACCCAAGUGAAAGGUGGCUGUAGAUGGAUUUGUUACAAACUCCUGAAAACACUUCUGAACUAUAUGCUCAGUAUGUUUACUGCAAGCUUACACCGGGGGAUAUUCAAAACAAAGGUUUUUGCUCAGUGUUCUUUUUUUAUAUUGUUCCAUUACCUCGUCUCCCUCACUUAACAAUUUGCAUUGUGUGGGACUUCUUAUUUUAAACAAAUGUCAUUAGCUAUCUUUAUUUGCUUUUGAUUCCCCAAAAGUAGAAUUUCUUUUCUUUUUUUCUUACUCUGUAUUUAGAGCUCCCUUAAAUAUUAUUUAAGUAAAAGUGCUGCUGUUCGAAUAAAAUUAUGCAUUGUUGCUUUUUCCACAUAACACACU